This 461-nucleotide ribosomal RNA is filed under the name uncultured bacterium. RNAcentral's name for it is "bacterial SSU rRNA". It matches the Rfam family "Bacterial small subunit ribosomal RNA", at positions 153 to 590 of the family's 1533-position model. The record is from RNAcentral.
GAAAGCGUUGCUAAUACCGGAUAUUGUCCCAUUUGCUGUGGCUUUUGGGAUGAAAGGUGACCUCUUCAUGAAAGUUGCCGUUUAGGGAGGGGCCCGCGUACCAUUAGCUUGUUGGUAGGGUAAUGGCCUACCAAGGCUGCGAUGGUUAGCUGGUCUGAGAGGAUGAUCAGCCACACUGGAACUGAAACACGGUCCAGACUCCUACGGGAGGCAGCAGUGAGGAAUUUUGCGCAAUGGGGGAAACCCUGACGCAGCAACGCCGCGUGAGUGAAGAAGGCCCUUGGGUCGUAAAGCUCUGUCAAGUGGGAAAAAAUUCUUUCAAUUAAUAGUUGAAAGGACUGAUGGUACCACUGGAGGAAGCACCGGCUAACUCCGUGCCAGCAGCCGCGGUAAUACGGAGGGUGCAAGCGUUGUUCGGAAUUACUGGGCGUAAAGAGCGUGUANGCGGGGUUGGUAAGUCA